AUCCCUUUCUCGGCCUGUUGGCGAAGAUCAAGUAGCGUAGUAUCUCAGAUACUGUAUCUGUUCUUAUCAGUUUAAUAUAUGAUAUGUGAGCCAAAGGCUCGCACGAUAUUAAAUUAACCAUUUUAAGGCGGAGAGUUCGCUACGGGAGCUUGCUACCGGGGCUCUCGAGCGUCGCCCUUGCGUUGCACCACUGCGAGAGCCUGGCGCACCCCAC
This 214-nucleotide small nuclear RNA is filed under the name Citrus sinensis (sweet orange). RNAcentral describes it as "U2 spliceosomal RNA". It matches the Rfam family "U2 spliceosomal RNA". Rfam says of the family: U2 is a small nuclear RNA (snRNA) component of the spliceosome (involved in pre-mRNA splicing). Complementary binding between U2 snRNA (in an area lying towards the 5' end but 3' to hairpin I) and the branchpoint sequence (BPS) of the intron results the bulging out of an unpaired adenosine, on the BPS, which initiates a nucleophilic attack at the intronic 5' splice site, thus starting the first of two transesterification reactions that mediate splicing. Lineage: Eukaryota; Viridiplantae; Streptophyta; Magnoliopsida; Sapindales; Rutaceae. The record is from Rfam by way of RNAcentral.